This 73-nucleotide transfer RNA is filed under the name Canis lupus familiaris (dog). It matches the Rfam family "tRNA". From Rfam's summary of the family: Transfer RNA (tRNA) molecules are approximately 80 nucleotides in length. Their secondary structure includes four short double-helical elements and three loops (D, anti-codon, and T loops). Further hydrogen bonds mediate the characteristic L-shaped molecular structure. tRNAs have two regions of fundamental functional importance: the anti-codon, which is responsible for specific mRNA codon recognition, and the 3' end, to which the tRNAs corresponding amino acid is attached (by aminoacyl-tRNA synthetases). tRNAs cope with the degeneracy of the genetic code in two manners: having more than one tRNA (with a specific anti-codon) for a particular amino acid; and 'wobble' base-pairing, i.e. permitting non-standard base-pairing at the 3rd anti-codon position. Lineage: Eukaryota; Metazoa; Chordata; Mammalia; Carnivora; Canidae. The record is from Rfam by way of RNAcentral. RNAcentral also lists the same sequence under 1 other name.
ACCUGGCUGGCUCAGUUGGUGGAGCAUGUGACUCUGGAUCUCAGGGUCCAGAGUUCAAGCCCUGUGUUGGGUG